UACGUAGGGGGCAAGCGUUGUCCGGAAUCAUUGGGCGUAAAGCGUGCGUAGGUGGUUCGUUAAGUCUGUCGUGAAAGCCCCGGGCUCAACCUGGGAAUGGCGAUGGAUACUGGCGGGCUAGAGUGCGGUAGAGGGUGGUGGAAUUCCCGGUGUAGCAGUGAAAUGCGUAGAUAUCAGGAGGAACACCGGCGGCGAAGGCGGCUUCCUGGACCGAUACUGACGCUGAGACGCGAAAGCGUGGGGAGCAAACAGG
Molecule: ribosomal RNA, 253 nt
Filed under: uncultured bacterium
Lineage: Bacteria
Description: partial 16S ribosomal RNA
Rfam family: Bacterial small subunit ribosomal RNA
Source: RNAcentral